GUUUAUUCAUUAGAGAUCACUGAUGGGGAGAGUACUAGUCAUCAAGGUGCCAUGAGGAGGCUGGAACCUAAUAUUCUAUGGAAGGCUUAGCUUUUGGUUCUGCCUUAUAAUUACAAACUGCAAAUGAUAGAAUCACUGGAAGCAUGUUUUAUCAGAAUGCUUCCUACUACUGCAUACAUAUGAAUCUUAUAACUUCAAUUCUUGUAUUCUUUUAUAUCUUUCUCUACCCAAAAAGAACAUACUUGUUAUUAAGGGUCAUUUUCCCCCCUCUGUACUUUUCUUGCUAGUAAGUAAUUCAUAUUCUAGAGAGCAAAUUUUAUUUUCUUCUUCAAUGUUUUUGGAUAACAUCCAUUGAAUGUUUUAGGGUUUAGGAAGUUCCUGAGAGAGCCUAAGGAGGUUACACAGUGAUCCUAACUGCUGCUAGAGUUGGGUUGACAUUCCUCCACAACUAAAAUUUAACAUAUAAGCUUUGCAACUCUAAAACACACUCUUUCAUUUGGGAAAAGAACUUAAUUUAUUUUAUUUGUAACUAGGCAAGCAAUAGCAUAGCAAAUCAUUGUACAUGGGCUUCAGUGGCUUGUUGGAUUUGUGGAUGAGGCCUUAUUUCUUAACCAUUGAAUCAAAUUGGUUAGUCAUUGAAUCAAAUUGGUUAAUUUGAUUCAAUAGUUAAGAAAUAAGGUCUCAUCUAAGGUCCUCCAUGAUUUGGUCUUGUCACUCCACACACUACGCUCAGACUAUAAUGAGUGGUAAGUUAUAAAGGGUAAGUUAUAAGGGGUUCACUUUAUAGCCAUCAGAUCGAUCACAUGGUUGAACUGUUAUGCUACAAUCGGGUUGAAAUUACCCAUACCAAAAGAUGCAAUCCGAAAGUGCAAAGCACGCUCUCUCAUCUUGGUUGACCCUCCUUCCCCGAAAGCCACCCACUCUGCAAUAUGUUCUUCUUGUCUCUCUCGCUCUAGCCAUCUCUGGUUUGAGGUUAUCAAAGAACCAAACUCCAUUCGGCAAAUAUCUUGCAACCAACACAGACAUAGAGAGUUUUGAGUCUUUUUUUAUUAUUGACACUUUAUCACCCCAAAAGUUUAUUUUCUGACGCCCAACUCCAGCUCGCCAGCUAUCUCCCUACUGUCCAAUCCAAUUCUCCACCCAUCCAUCGUCAUAACCCAACUCUACUCAAAUUCGGAACCCUAGUUUGACCUAGCCAAGCUGUCGCAACUCACGACCUUUGUUGUCGACCUCCACCGUGAAGCCACUAUCGCGACUCCACAGCCAAGCCACAGUCGCGACCUCCGUCGUCGUUCUCCACAGCGGUGAGUUCUGAUAUUGGUUUUGUACUUUAUGUCUGUUAUAAAUUCAUUGAUCCCCUUUUCUUAUUAUUGCAACAGUAGGGGCAUUCAUGGGCUCCAUUUUUGGCUACGGUCCUCUCUCUCUCUUCGUCUCCUUCUCUGUAAGUCCUCUUCUUCUCCCUCUUCAAAUUUCAGUAAUCCUCCGUACCAUUGACCUGAAACACCUACUUCUCUGGUUCUCUUCUUCGAUCAUGUCAUUCAAUUUUAAUUUUUUUUUCCUUUCUAAAUUCUACUUUAGGGAUUUAGGAAUUAGGGAUUCAGUUGGGUUAAUUUUCGAAAUUCUAAUUUAGGGAUUCAUUCAAUGCCUAAUUUAUGAGCUGUGGCUUUAUGAAUUAUCAAGUGGACUACUUGUUUUUAAUUGAUCAUUGAUAAUGGUAUUAUUGUAGUUUUUAAUUGAUCUUUGCAUAUUUCAGAUUUUAGCCUUAUAAUUUUAAUGGCUGUGUGUAGACAGGUUAUUAAAUUCUUCUAGUAUUAAUGGAAGUUGUGUUACUAAAUUACCAGUACCUACGCUCUUGGUUGACAUGGUUGUUCUGAAUUGUAAGAUUAGCUUACAACUGAUGGCGCUCCCACAACCAACAACCCACAACCCCAUCCAAAUCAUACCCACCCUCCUUGCGAUGGCUCCAAGGACGGAUCUACCAUGGGGUCAAUGGGGUCAGACGACCCCAUGACAGAUCUGGAGUUUAGUGGUAAGGACUGGCUUUUGCCCUUGGCAGCUAUGGAAGUGACCCCAAGGAGAAGAAGAAGAAGCUUCGGUGGUGGCAGCUGGAGCAAGAAGAAAGAGAGAGAAGGAAGAGAGAUGGAGCAGACGGAGGAGAGAGAAGAAAGAAAAGAAGAAGAGAGGAAGAAGGAAAAAGAAUAAAAACAGAGAGGGGAAAAAGGAAGAAGGAAAAAGAAUAAAGAAAGAGGGAGACGGGAGGAGGGAGAGAGAGAAAGAGGAAAAAAGAAUAAAAAAGAGAGGGAGUGAUUAAAAAGAGAGAGAGGGGAAAAUAUAAUAAAAAAGAGAGAGGGGAAAUAUAAUCUUUUUCUUUUUCUUUUUUCUUUUCUUUGUUUUCUUUCAAAUCCUUCUAAAUAUUUCAACAAUAUUAUCUAGGGGUGGGCACGGUUCGGUUUGGACUGGUUCCGGGGGAAAAAUGGAACCUAAUCCGAUAGUGCAGACCGGUUCGGUUUGGACCGGUUCUGCUCAACAUCCAUACAGAAAUCCGAACCAACCCGGACCUGUCCGGUUCCGGUUCGGUUCUUGCGGUUCCGGUUUUUUUUUUUUUUUUUUUUUUUUUUUUUUUUAAUUUUAAAUUUUAACAAAUCUGCCCAAAAUGUAUUUUAUAUACUAACAUACCCCAAAUUUGAGGUUCCAUCAAGCUUUCAACACAUUAAAAUGAAUCCAACUUCAACAAAAAUACAAUCCAAAUUCAAAUGAAUCCAACUUCAACAAAAAUUCAAUCCAACUUCAACAUCAUCAAAAUGAAUCCAACUUCAACAAAAAUACAAUCCAAAUUAAAUCCAACUUCAACAUAUAAAUUACAACCCAAAUUAAAUCAAACUUCAACAAAAUAAGUUCCAAAAUAAAUUACUAGCCAAAUACAACCCAAAUUCAAUCCAAAUAUACAUUACAACCCAAAUUAAAUUCCUCCUAACAUUGAAAAGUAGUUGGAGCUAUGGUGCUAGGUGUGGAUGAACUCAUAAUAUCUACAUAAAAAAAACAUAAACCCAUUAAAACAUUAGUCCAACAUACAUAUUAUAUAAUACAUUAAUAAAGCACAUAUAAAAUUACAAAAACAAAAAACAAAGAAAAAAACUUAACAUGAUAUAUAUUAACAAAAACACAACUUAACAACAUAAACAACCCUCAUAUAUACAAUCCAAUUACAAAUUAUCAUUUCCAACUAAAUGAUAAUAUCAACACUUAACUAGAAAGCAACUGAAAAACAGAAACCAAUUAACUGAAAAACUGAAACCAAUUAUACACUGUCAAACCUAUGACAGCAGUAAUAAAGCAAAACAAAAAUAUGCAAAACUGAAAAUCUGCAAAACUGAAAAACUGCAAAAUGAAAAACUGAAAAACUGAACAGCAACAGCAGUAAUAAAGCAAAACAAAAAUAUGCAAAACUGAAAAUCUGCAAAACUAAAAAACUGCAAAACUGAAAAACUGAAAAACAAAGAUUAAAGCCCGACUAGGAUAGUAUGGUGAUUACAAAAUGUAGAGAUAUCUAAGUCUUCACAUUUGUGUGUGAUGAGAGAGAGAUUUCUACUAAUCUAAAACUAGAGGGUAAAAUAAAUUGGAAAUUAAGCUCAGAGAACAGUGCAUGGAAGCAAAACCAAAUAUUCCUCCAUAUAAUUUCUGCUAAAUGUAAAAACAAACAACUGACCGAUACAAAAGGCAUGAGUGGGUUCUUAAUUAAACCUUUUUGGCUCUUUGCAAAAAUUCCAGUGAAGUUCGUUGUGAAACUAUGGCCCUUCAAACCAAUUUUUUUCACAUUUUGGAGAAAAGAGAGUUGAAUUUUUGCUUCUUUUAGAAUCUUUUUUUAAAGUUAACGUGAAAUUGGAUCCAGAUGAAAACUUUAAUAAUCUUCUCUUCUUUUUUUAAUAAAAAGUUUUCCGGCGAAUUUCACCAGAACAUUGCAACACAGAUGCACACAGAUGGCAGAGCAAAUGCGAGCAAAUUGUGGAAUUGACCAACAAGAGAAACAAAGCGAAUGAAAGGAUGAAAAUAGAUGAACAAACCACAACCAUCACAAUUGUACAGGAGCACACAUAGACAGCUUAAAUAAACAUAAUAUAAAGUUUAUAAACUUACAGAAGCUUUGAAUUUCUCAAGCUCUUUCUCUUGUUUGUGUUGGAGCUGUCGCUGUAGUGCCUGAUUCUCCUCAGACAUUCUGAUUCUCCUUGCACGAAUCUGAGACUGCACACGAGCAAGAGUCUGCAUGCAUCUUAGUGUGGUAGUUGCUUGCCGUUUAACAGAUUGGCCCUCUAUCAAUGAUUUCAACCUCACCAACCCCCUCAAAGCCCGCAAUGCCCUUCUUGCCUGAAAAUCACAAAUUACAUAAAAGCUCACUUAACACAUACAGCUCAUAGCUCAAUAAUGGACAUAGAGAUGGUCAGACAGAGAAUCGAAGGGGGAAAAGAAACAAAACGAAAAAACAAAGAAAAAAGAAAGCCAGAAGAAUUGAACCUGCUUGCGUGACGAGGACGACGGCGCGACGGCUGAAGAAGAACAAGGAUGGCUGCAACAAUGGUUUCACGCAGAGGAAAGGAAAGGUUCUUCGGGUUCGGCGGCUCUGAAAUCAGAGAGAGGGAGAGGAAAAAAAUCGAAGAAGGAAGAAGAAACCCCUAAAUCGUGUGUUUUAGUUGUGAUGAUCCUGUGUGUGUGUGCGUACGGUAGUAUUUUAGAUACCCAAUACAAAACAGCCACAUGUUAACUAUAUAUAAAAUAUAAAAUAUAAAUAUAUAAAAUAUAUAAAAUAUAUAUUAAUUAAUUAUAUUGGACCGGUUCGGAUUGGACCGGUUCCUUGUAGUAGAAAACCGAAACCGGAACCGGUCUGAACCGGUUCGGUUUGGAUUUGACUCGGUUUUUUACUUUUUUAGUCAACACGGUUUUUUCCGGAUUUUUUCGGUUUGGUUUGGUUCGGUUUUGCGGUUUUGCGGUUCUAAUGCCCACCCCUAAUAUUAUCAAUGAUUCCAACAUUUUUUCUAUUUCAAAUGUCGUAUAAUAACAAAAAGUUCUAAAUAUGAUGAAGAAAAUACACUGAAAAAAGAUUGCUUAUAUAAAAUAAAAAUAUAGUAAGGGCUUAUAAUUUAUCCAAAAAAAAAAACCCGUUCAUGUGGGUUACCUCUAGUUUUCAGUUAAUACAAUCUAUUGUUCAAGCCUAAAAAUCUACAAAAACCAACCAAAAUCCACAAAAACUCACCAAAUUUUCUUAAUACAUUUGUACUUAAGGUAAAUUUAGCCCGCCCGAUUUGCAAUUCCUGGGUCCGUCCCUGUCCACCACCAAUAUCUCAUCCCUUGACAUCGCCGCCAAGGGUGCUAGCUGCCGUUUACCAACAGCCGUCUCCGUUGCCGCCACUAUUUUUGUGAUCCCACGAGUGGCAAUUCCUGCAUCCGCCACUGGAUGGCUCUGCCCCUCACUUUAUAUCACAUCUUUGAUUUUGUUGAUGAUAUAUAUAUAUAUAUAUUGUUUUUAAAAGAAAAAUAUAAUAUUUCGUCUUGGGGAAAGAGGGGUUGGGACUGGGUGGGAUGGUGAGGGUGAGACCAUUUUUCCUAAUGAAACUGAAGUUGAAGAACCACAGAAACAAUUUUGAAAAUUGAGUGACCAAAAUACGAAUCGGAUCAAAAUUCAAGAACCAUUAGACCUAAAAACCCUAAGUAAGAUUAUGUUCAUGCUCAAUUUUUGUGUGUGGUUAAAUCGGCCUUAAAAUCUAGACCCUUAGAUGGAGAGGAAUGGUGGGAAAUGUGAACCAAUCGUCAAAUCGUCAAAUUUCGUAUUGUUUAUUUAUUUGGAGGGAAGAAUUUAGACAAGUGGUAUCAUUAUCAGAUUAAAAAUCCCUAUCAGGACAAAAUAAGAAGAUAACAGAUCAGAAAUCACUAUCACUACUAGAUAAUGAACGGACGGUGAGAAAAUCGUAAGAGAUUAUAUUCAUUCACGUACGAGUUGCUGCGGUGGAUUGCAGACUGAUUCAGAUUAAUAAAAUGACAGAGAUGGAUGCUGACUGCUGAUGGUUUUUGAGUGGAACAAAUUAAACAUUCAGGUACAAAGACUUUGAGCCAUUAGAUUUAAAUCAACACAAUCCCGUGCACUGUUAUGAAAUUUAUACCAGUCAACUUGUUCUGCAUUUUGUUAUAUGUGGCAACACGUUGUUUUCUCAGUCACGCCACUUAGUUUACUAGUUGUACCUUAUAUUCAAUGAUUUAUUUAUUGUAUAGUUUUAUAUUGGUUCAAGAUUGGCAAAUGUUGGACCAUUUCAGAAACAAAUUUCCUGGUAGCUCACGAGGGAAGAAAAAAAGAACUGAGGAAACUACAAGGUAAUGAGUGUAAUGAAAAAAAUUGACAAGUGCAGUGCAGUGCAGGUAGAGAAGAACAAAAUGAUCAUUCUGACCAUUUCUGUGGUAGAAUAAAACAGUUGGACCUGGUGCUAGACAUUAAAUUAUAAAAAGGGAAGGCCGUUUCAUCCACAUAAAACAAUAUCAUUCAAGAAUAUCAAAAUAUAUCAUACAAAAUUGUCAAUACAUCAUUCACACAACAAAAUCCUUUACUUCUCUAUCAUCUUUUCAGUUUCAAGUUUCAACCCAGAAGUUAAAGCACUAGCUAGCAGCAGUAGCAGCAAGAGAGGAGAUGGCAGAAAGUGUGGUGAGCUUUUUGCUUGACAGGCUCACCUCCAUAAUAGAAGAUGAGGUGAGACUACUGUCAGGGACCCGAGCAGAGAUGGAGGAUAUUGUCGAGGAGUUAGAGCGCAUCAAGGCCUUCUUAAGGGUUGCUGAUGCAAAGGAAGACAGUGACCCCCAGCUCAAAGUGUGGGUUAAACAAGUUAGAGAUGUGGCUUAUCAGAUUGAAGAUGCGCUUGAUAAAUUCAGGCUUUCUCAUUCAUGUUAUCAUAGGCCUGGAUGCCAUGUUUCCCUUCAUGAGCUCUCUUGCAUCUUUAACAAGUUGAAAGCUCGCCAGCGAAUUGCUACUGAUAUUCAAAGCAUAAAAUCAAAAGUCAGAAGCCUCUCCGAGGGACAUCAGAAUUACAAACUUGAUGUUGACCCUGGCUCAAGCAAGGUUCCUAAACAUCAGUACAGUCAAGGGGAUGCUCUUUUGCUGGAAGAGGCUGACCUUGUGGCAAUUGGCGAACCUAAAAGGCAGCUGAUUGAGUUGCUUAUGCAGGAGGGUGGCGAUGCUGGACGCCAGGCAGUCGCGGUCGUUGGGAUGGGAGGGCUGGGGAAAACCACCUUGGCCAAGCAAGUCUAUAAGGAUGCAAGAGUUAAGAAAAAUUUCAAGGUACAUGCUUGGAUCACUGUUUCUCAAUCAUUCAAGAUAAAGGAGCUCCUAAGACACAUAGUUGAAAAAAUCUUCAAAGUUAUCAGGAAACCAGUCCCUGAAGAAUUUGAUAGCAUGGACACCAACAAGCUAAGAGAAAGAAUAAAAAAAUUGCUGCAGCACAGUAGGUACCUGAUUGUUCUAGAUGAUCUUUGGCACAUAGAUGCCUGGGAUGUCAUCAAUCAUGCAUUGCCUAACAACAAUGGUAGUCGAGUAAUGAUCACUACUCGUAAUGCGUCUGUAGCCUCUGCCUCUUGCAUGCACAACCACGUUAUGGUCUACCAUUUAGAGCCCUUAUCUCCAGAAGAGUCUUGGACUCUUCUCUGUAGGAAGACAUUUCAGGAAGAGUCAUGUCCUCCCAAUUUGGAGGAAAUCUGUCGAUGCAUCUUAAGCAAAUGUGGGGGACUGCCCCUUGCAAUUGUGGCAAUCGGUGCUGUUCUAGCUAUGAAAGACAAGAAAAACAUAGAAGAUUGGGCUGCCGUUUGUGGCAGUAUUGGUGCUGAAAUUGAGGAAAAUGACCAACUUGACAACAUGAAAAGGUUGUUGUAUCUCAGUUUCAGUGAUUUACCAUACCAUCUCAAAUCUUGUUUCUUGUAUCUGAGUAUCUUUCCUGAUCUUUAUAAAUUCGAGUAUAUGAGAUUAAUUCGAUUAUGGAUUGCUGAAGGAUUUGUUAUUGAAAAGGAAGGAAAGACACCAGAAGAAGUUGCAGAGAGUUACCUUAAGGAGCUACUGGACAGAAGUUUGAUCGAAGCAGAAGAAAUAGCUACCGAUGGGAGGGUCAAAUCAUGUCGGAUCCAUGAUCUUUUACGGGAGAUUGUCGUUUUGAAGUCUAGAGAGCAAAACUUUGCAGCAAUAGAGAAAGAGCAAGGCACAAUGUGGCCUGAAAAAGUUCGACGACUAUCAAUUUUUAACACGUUGCAGAAUGUACAACAAAAGAGGAUUCCUUCCAAACUUCGUUCGUUGCUCAUUUUUGGGGUAGAAGAUUCACUUACUGAGUUUUCAAUAUCAAAAUUGUUUCCUAGAGGUCUUCCGCUGCUUACUGUAUUAGACUUGGAAGGUGCACCUCUAGAGACAUUUCCAAAAGAGGUUGUCAACCUUCUUCUGCUGAGAUAUCUUAGUUUGAGGGGUACCAAGGUGAAACAAAUUCCAAGCUCCAUCAAGAAGCUUCAAAACCUAGAGACCUUUGAUCUUAAACACUCUCAUGUCGUUGAGUUGCCUGCUGAAAUUUUGAAUCUCAAGCGACUGCGGCAUCUCCUGGUAUAUCGCUAUGAAGUUGAAUCUUAUGCACGAUUUAAUUCCAGAUAUGGAGUGAAGGUUCCUGCAGGAAUAUGUGGCUUACAAUCGCUCCAAAAGCUGUGUUUUGUAGAGGCAAAUCAAGACAAUGGCGCUUUAGUGGCAGAGCUUGGGAGAAUGAAUCAACUGAGGAAGUUAGGCAUUUUCAAGUUGAGACAAGAAGACGGGGUCACCUUAUGCUCAUCUAUCGAAAAGAUGCGCAACCUUCGGUCAUUGUCUGUAUCUUCAGUGGAGAAGGACAAGAUAAUUGAUCUGACACACAUUUCUUGUCCUCCUCAAUUUCUUCAGCGACUAUACUUGACGGGGCGUUUAGAAAACUUACCGCAUUGGAUUUCUUCUCUCCAGAACGUGGUGAGACUGUUUCUGAAAUGGAGUCGGCUAAAGGAGGAUCCUCUAGUGCAUCUUCAAGGUUUGCCAAAUCUAGUACAUCUUGAACUCCUUCAGGUUUAUGAGGGAGACUGUUUGCAUUUUAAGGCAGGAGGGUUUCCAAGCCUGAAGUUACUAGGUAUUGACAAACUAGAUGAACUGAAAUUGGUAAGCAUGGAUAAGGGAGCAAUGCCUUGCCUAGAAAAGUUAAUUAUCCAGCGGUGCAGAUUGUUGAAGAAGGUAUCAGGCAUUGAACAUUUACAAGACCUAAAGCUGCUCGAAUUUUUUGACAUGCCAAACGAAUUAAUAAGGCCAUUUCAUCCAGAUGGCGGGGAAGAUCAUUGGAAAGUUGCUCACAUUCCAGAGGUUUACUCUUCGUAUUGGAACGUUGGGGGUUGGGAUGUUUAUUCAUUAGAGAUCACUGAUGGGGAGAGUACUAGUCAUCAAGGUGCCAUGAGGAGGCUGGAACCUAAUAUUCUAUGGAAGGCUUAGCUUUUGGUUCUGCCUUAUAAUUACAAACUGCAAAUGAUAGAAUCACUGGAAGCAUGUUUUAUCAGAAUGCUUCCUACUACUGCAUACAUAUGAAUCUUAUAACUUCAAUUCUUGUAUUCUUUUAUAUCUUUCUCUACCCAAAAAGAACAUACUUGUUAUUAAGGUUCAUUUUCCCCCCUCUGUACUUUUCUUGCUAGUAAGUAAUUCAUAUUCUAGAGAGCAAAUUUUCUUUUCUUCUUCAAUGUUUUUGGAUAACAUCCAUUGAUUGUUUUAGGGUUUAGGAAGUUCCUGAGAGAGCCUAAGGAGGUUACACAGUGAUCCUAACUGCUGCUAGAGUUGGGUUGACAUUCCUCCACAAACUAAAAUUUAACAUAUAAGCUUUGCAACUCCAAAACACACUUCUUUCAUUUGGGAAAAGAACUUAAUUUAUAUGUAACUAGGCAAACAAUAGCAUAGCAAUUCGUUGUACAUGGGCUUCAGUGGCCUGUUGGAUUUGUGGAUGAGGCCCUAUUUCUUAAUCAUUGAAUCAAAUUGAUUAGUCAUUGAAUCAAAUUGGUUAAUUUGAUUCAACAGUUAAGAAAUAAAGUCUCAUCUAAAGUCCUCCACACUAUAGAAUGACUCUCAAGCAAGACAGGCAGAGAGAGAGGAGCAGUUCAAUCAUUAAUGCCUCUAAAAAGUUGAGGCAGAGAAUGUAACGUAGCCAUCACUUUAUCGAUCUAAAGCCAAGUAAAAUUCUACAAUUCCUCCUUCCAUUGCUUGCCAGCAAUCGCACAAUGUUUGCAAUAUCUCCAUUUUAUAUGGCUAGUUGACUUUCCUCGCCACUUCAUACAAAUGAUCUUCCACGUUUCCUUGGAUUGGAAAUAGAGAUAGGAAGAAAGGUCUGACAAAUUUGCCCUCAAAAGAGUCACGUGCAUACCAUGCGAUUUCGUUUCACGGAAAAAAUCAAUGAAAUGUGGAAAAAAUUGACGGUAGGGGCACAUUGGCUAAAAAAAAUAAUUCGUAUUCUUAAUUUACUAAAUAAAAGUUAAAACGUUCAGAGGAAAAUAUAAAAAAAUUGUGAAAAUUUAGGACUGCAUAUUUGUUUUUAUGGAUUUAAAAUGUGAAUUGAAUAUAACAACAUUAUUUAGUAACAAGUCAAGUUGAAUAUAACAUUAUUUAGUAACAAGUCAUAUUUUUGGGAAAUUAUUUAAUUUAUAUUCAUUACGAUAUUUCCAAGAAAAUAAUGGAGUUUUGAUCUAGAACUAUUGUCUUGUUCCUCUUUUUCUUUGGCAGCUUAUACAAGCCUUAGUAAUUAUCCAAAAAACCAUAAAAAGCACAGAAAAAGAGAAGAAAUGUGAGACUAUGCGUGUCUUGUUAGAACUUUCUGCCUCCGAGUCUGACUGGUUAAGCAAAUGCGUUGGUAUCACUAGACAAUUCGCAAUUGGUUGAAUGAACAAUUUUUAAAAAUUAUUAUUUCCCAUUUAAGAGAAUCUCCCUAUUCAUAAAAAAAUCUCGAACAAUCUCUUCAAACUAAAAUUUUCAAAUUGUGGUUUGUUGACCAACAUAGCAAUUUAAAGAGUAAAAUUUGCUACUUUACUAAUUUGUACACUCAACAAGCCUCUUCAAUUUAAUUAAUACAGUACACACAAAAAAUAAAUGAAUUAAAUAAAAUAUUAAAUAAGUAUCGAAAGUCUCCCAUUUGAUUUGAAAAGCAAAGGUUAUUUCUCAAAAAAACAAGAAAAAAAAAAAAAGAAAAAAGAAAAGCAAAGGUUGCCUUUUAUUGAUCACUAGCCCAAUGUAGGCUUUUAUCGUUCCGGGACAACUUUUGUUGUUUCAAAGCUUAAUAAAUGUGUUGAAGAGUGAAAGCGUGCACUCUUUUGUUUUUGUAGAGUGAAUGAAGAGUCUCAAAUUUAGUGAGUAGGUUUGACAAGGUUGUUAGAGAAGGUUUUGUUCAUGUGGCUCACCUAAUUUAGUGUUCCAAAGCUUUUCAAGAGGCUAUUGGAGAUGCUCUAACAAUACAACUACGCAUUUUAAUUAAUUAAGAGGGUUUUUAGGUUUAAUAGUCCUUGAACUUUGACCCGAUUCACAUUUUGGUUACUCAAUUUCCAAAAUCAUUUAUGUGGUCCUUCAACUUUAGUUUUGUUGGAACAAAUGGUCCUGCCGUCAAUUUUGGUAACUUUUUAUGUUAUAUUUGAGCAUGUGCAUCGCACAUUGUGUACUAUUGAGGGUCAAAAUAAAAAAUUGCUUCACUUCUUGGGUACAUGGGUAAUUCCUGGCAUAUUUUAACCCCACAUCCACUUCCCCACCGUUGCAACUUAACUCUCCCCAUCCACAUAUCUCCGUCCCUCCCCAAGCCAAACCCAUUAAAACCCAUCACCAAUCGAGGAAUGAUAUAUCUCCCUUCCUCCAAUCCAACAAAACCAUGUACAACCUCCACCAAACACUGGGCCAAUUAACCCACCCCACCAACAAUUGAUGGCGAUCCCACAACCAACAACCUACAACCCCAUCCAAACCGUACCCACCCUCCUUGUGAUGGCUUAUGCCCCUCACUUUAUAUCAUAUAUUCAAUUUUGUUGAAGAUAUAUAUUUUUUUUGAAAGAAAAAGAUAAUAUUUCGUCUUGGGGAAAGAGGGGUUAGGACUGGGUGGGAUAGUGAGGGUGAGACCAUUUUUCCUAACGAAACUGAAGUUGAAGGACUACGUGAACAAUUUUGGAAAUUGAGGGACCAAAAUGCGAAUCGGGUCAAAAUUUAGGGACCAUUAGACCUAAAAACCCUAACCAAGAUUAUGUUCAUGCUCAAUUUUUGUGUGUGGUUAAAUCGGCCUUAAAAUCUAGGCCCUUAGAUGGAGAGGACUGGUGGGAAAUGUGAACCAAUCGUUAAAUCGUCAAAUCGUCAAAUUUCAUAUUGUUUAUUUAUUUGGAGGGAAGAAUUUAGACAAGUGGUAUCAUUAUCAGAUUAAAAAUCCCUAUCAAGACAAAAUAAAAGGAUAACAGAUCAGAAAUGGACAUGUUUGGUAGGUUGGAUUAGCCUUGACAGUGUUAAAUAACACUUUAAAACCCACAUUUGGUAAAAGAGGGACUAAGAUUAAUGGGAUUAUAUAGUCCAUAAGUCAAAAAAACACCGGACUCGCUCGUCCAAUUUAGUGAGGAUGAAAUGCAGUUCGCAAAAUAGCGAGCGUGCUAUUUUGAAAGUACGAGUCCGACCCACACAGCGACCUCCACGAGCUACUCUUGGUUGAUGAGUAUCUCCUCAUUCAUGUCGGGCAAUAUGGCAGUGACUAGCUCUUCGAACUCGAUGGUUUCAUUUCCGUUAGCGACGAGGACGUGGAGCUAGUUGCCGGUGGGCUUGAAGCCUAGCGACCGGAGCAGGGCGGCGAGCUCGAGCUAGGUGAGGCUGCCGUUGGAGUCCAUGUUGAAUCCGUAUUCAACCUUUUAGUUAUAAUUCUAAAAACAUCUUUUUGAUGUUUUCAUUUUAAGAGAAUGGAUUCAACAAAUAGAGCACCGCCAUCCAGUCAAACCCAGAGCUCCACCACCUGUACCAAAUCGAAAAUCAAAUGCCACCAUCAACAAUAUACAUACCAAAUUGAACCACCACCAUCAAACCCAACCAAUCUGCCUAUCAAACCCAACAAUAUACAUACAAAUUGCAGAGAGAUGAGAUGGGUUUUGGAGAGAGAGAACGAGAGAGGUGGGGGAGAGAGGGACAUUUUGCAGAGAGAAUUAAGGUUUGGAGGAAGGAGGAGUGGGUGCUGCGGCAUGAAGAGAGUGAAAAAGAGGGAAGUAAGAAGAAAAGAGACAUGAGAGAAGAGGAAGAAAGAAACGGGCCUAAGAUCGGGAAGGAAGGGAAGAAGAAAAGAGGAAGAAGAAAAGAGGAAGAAAGAAAGAACAUGACAAAAAGAAAAAAGAAAGGAGAUUAAAAAAAAAUCUGAAUUUUUUAUUCUUUAAAUUAUACUUUUUUUUAAUUUAUAAAUUGUUUAUAAAAAUUUUAGCCUUUAAAAAGUAUCAUAAUUUAAAUAUUUUUUAAGUCAAAAUCCCAAAUUAAAUUUAAAUAUUACAAGAAUUAUUUUGGGAGCUUUAGUAAUAUACCCAAAAUAGGACAUGAAAUUAUAAAAAAAUCCUAUAUGGAAUAGACUUUAAAAACACACCAAAAAAUCAUUUACUAUCUAAAAAAUGAGUGUUAAAGUUCCUAUAAAUUACAUCUCUGCCAUUUAUUAACUUAAAACAUGCCUAAUACAAAAAACUCAAAAAAAACCCAAAAUAAGCCCAGCAAGCCGAAGUACAUUGUUAAUACCAUGUCAUAGAAGUGUAUUGUUAAUACCAUAUCAUAGAAAUACAUUGUUAAUAUCAUGUCAUAGAAGUACAAUGUUAAUAUCAUUUCAUAGAAAAACAUUGUUAAUACCAUUUCAUACAAAAAACUCAAAAAAACCCAAAAAAGCCCAGCAAGAUAUCUGAUAUCCUUUGCAAAAAUCACCUCCAAUUGUCCAUAGUUUUACCAGAAGCAAUCGCAAAGGCCCUCUACAAGAAGAAUAAAAAAAGUACACUGUUAAUACUGUGUCAUAGAACUACCUUCGUAGUUAAAAUCACAUUUUGCAUAUCAUAAACUUCCAGUGCACAGCUAUAUAAGCAAAAUAUAGAGCAUGCUUUGUUACUGAAAAAUCUGUUAAUACUAUAUCAUGGAAGUGCACUGUUGAUACUAUGUCAUAGAAAUCAACUCAAUUGCAGGGUAUGAACAGUUUAACAACUGUUCAUACCACUUACUAAAAGCUAACAACUAUAUUUUAUUUGCAUAUAUAAUAGGUACGAUAAAAAUGUACAACUGCAAAAACCCCAUGUUCAUACACCAGCAACCUUGAAAAACAUAACGAAAAACACAACCUUUUGGAACAAACCUAGGAACCCAGAGCAAAAAAAAAAAAAAAGUACACUGUUAAUACUAUGUCAUAGAACUAUCUUCCUAGUGAAAAUCACAUUCUGCAUAUCAUAAACUUCAAGUGCACAGCUAUAUAUAGAGCAAAAUAUAGAGCAUGCUUUGUUACUGAAAAUCUGUUAAUACUAUGUCAUAGAAGUACACUGUUAAUACCAUAUCAUAGAAAUCAACUCAGUUGCAAGGUAUGAACAGUUGUUAUACUAUUCAUACCAGUCACUGAAAGUUAACAACUACAUCAUUUCAUUCGCAUAAUCGGUACAAUAAAAGUGUACAACUCCAUACCACUCAAAAUCAAUUACAUCAUUUUAUUUGCAUAAAUAAUUGAUCCUUUAUCACUCCACAUACCAUAAACAUUGAAGAAUCUGAAAUAUGACACUUAGAAUAAGAUAAUAUGCUAUCUAACAGCAAAUUCUUAUAUACAUUUGUGUAUGAUAAGUCUGGUAAACUCACAACAGGCAGGAUUAGGGGACCCGACGUGGCUAGAUAAGUUGUCACCCUCAUCUAUCAUGCUCAUGGCACAAGAAGUCUCUGUUGUACCGUAUCCUUCAAUUACUUAGUCAAAGCCCUUGCGAUUUUCGUUACAUGCAGCAAAAAUUUCAUUGGUCUUAACACUUGAGAAAUUUUUAUUUUUAUUUUUAUUAAAUUGCAUUCUAUAAGAUAGCCAACUUACACUCUAAGGAAGUCCAUGACAUUAGGGGACAAGGGUGAAGCACCGGAUCCCAUAUUGAACACCAAUCUGUCCCAUAUUGGUGAUCCAUUUGAACUUGAAAUAAUUGUUUAACAUAGAAAAAUUUAACAACAGCAUGACUUCAGUAAUAGCCUAUGAGAAGGUGAAGUUAUUAGUGUAUAUUACCACUCAUUAGACCAUUCAAAUCAAAUCAAAUCAAAUCAGACCAUUCUUCAUGUUCAGCCUAGGCUAGUUCACUUUGAAGAGCCACCAAAUCUUUUUCAAGUUCAUCAAUUUCAAUAUCUGCCUUUGUUAUUAAUAUCUUCAACACUAAUAUGCAACAUUUCUCAUUUAUUGCAUCUUCUUCUAUCAGAUCUAUAACCAUAAGAAAAGACCAGUGUGGCUAUUAAAGCACAAACAGGGAAAACAAGGAAUGACACCAAUGAAAUAGAAAGAAACAUAUUAUACCACGACCACAACCAAAGUAGAAGUUGUACUCCCAUCCAGAUUCUGUGCCAUAAGUGCUCCCAGGUGCAACUGAUAAGCAAGCAUUCAGUUCAGCUAACAUUAGUACAAACUCUACAGCCACAUGUACCUAAGAUAAGAUCUACAACAACGUAUUUCUUCGAUAUGAAAACUAGCCAGCAUGGUGCUGUGAGAAAUAUAUGAAGAAUAGGGUUUGUAUUGAGUAGUCAAACCGUAUACGGAGGCAUGUAUUUUAUACAAGUAAAUGAAAGCUAUUCUAGGAAAACAGAGAAGCUAUUCUAGGUAAACAGAACCUAUUUAUGUUGAUUACAAUUCUAUCCUACAACUGCUCCUAAUUAGAUCAUAAUCAGAUCAUUGACUAUUUUGUUUCCUUUUACACUCCCCCUCAAGUUGGAGUAUGGAUGUUAAUUAUACCCAACUUGCUGAGAUGCGUAUGAAAGAUGGGUGCCCUUAGCGGUUUUGUAAAGUUGUCAGCUAUCUGAUUUCCUGUUGGCACAUAAGCUGUCUUGAUUUCACCCUUUUGGAUCUUUUCACGAACUGUGUGACAAUCUAGCUCGAUAUGCUUAGUCCUCUCAUGGUACACCGGAUUUGCAGCAAUAUGUAAGGCUGCUUGAUUAUCGCAAAACAAUCUUGCUACCCGUAAAUCUCUCAACAAAUAUCUUAACCAAGUAAGUUCACAAGUGGCUGCAGCCAUCGAACGGUAUUUUGCUUCGGCUGAUGAUCUAGACACUGUGACUUGCUUCUUACUCUUCCAGGACAUGAGUGAGUUUCCAAGGAAAAUGCAAUAUCCUGUCACUGAUCGUCGUGUCAUAGGACACGUGGCCCAAUCCGCAUCACAAUAACCAACCAAACUUAGCUGACUUGUUGUAGAAAACAGUAAGCCUUGCCCAGGUGCGUUCUUCAGGUAUUGAAGAAGAUGACGUGCUGCCUUGAGGUGGUGUAGCUUGGGUUCUUGCAUGAACUGACUCAAAGUAUUCACUGCAUAUGUAAUCUCUGGCCUGGUGAUGGUGAGGUAGAUUAAUUUUCCAAUUAAUCGUCGAUAUUGAGCUGGUUCCUUGAGGGCAUCACUACCUGUUGUCGUUAGUACCAACUCAGGUUCCAUGGGGACUUUAGUGGGCUUCACUCCAAGCAAACCAGCUUCCUCCAAUAUGUCUAGAGUGUACUUUCGUUGACAAAUUGAAAUCCCGUCUUUAGAGCGUGCAACUUUCACACCAAGAAAAUAUUUUAAUAGUCCAAGAUCUUUAAUCCGAAAACAUCCGUUGAGAAACUGCUUGAGAUUCUGAAUUUCCUGCUCAUCAUGUCCUGUAAUGAUCAUGUCAUCAACAUACAGUAAUAUCACAUUAAUAGAGUUUCCACGAACCAAAGUGAACAACGAGUAAUCGGCUCGAGAUUGUUGGAAACCAAUGUCUUGAAUGGCAGAAGAGAACCGACGAAACCAAGUGCGUGAGGCUUGUUUAAGACCGUAUAAUGAUUUGUGGAGUCGACAAACCAUCUGCUCCCCCGGUCGACAAUAACCAGGAGGUGGUAACAUGUAAACCUCCUCAAGCAAAUCCCCAUGUAAAAAUGCAUUUUGUACAUCCAUUUGAUGUAAAGGCCAAUCGCGAAUAGCAGCAAUGGAUAACAAGCAACGAAUGGUGAUCAAUUUGGCCACGGGAGCAAAAGUCUCCUUGUAAUUGAUGCCCUCGCGUUGUGUAAACCCCUUUGCGACGAGUCGAGCUUUGUAGCGCUCGAUGGUGCCAUCCGAGUGAUACUUGAUUUUGUAGACCCACUUGCACCCAAUGGGGCGAUGACCCAAGGGCAGAGGGACAAGGGACCAAGUACGGUUGUCCUCAAGGGCCUUGAUCUCAGAACUCAUGGCAGCAAGCCAUUUGGGAUCUUGACUUGCCUGUGCAUAAUUUGCUGGUUCAACCAAGUGAGAAAUGUUGGAAACAAAAGUACGGUGUGCAUGAGAUAACUGAGUGUAAGAGACAUACCGAUGAAGGGGAUACCGGGUGCUGGACGUAGAAGAAGAGGGAAGACCAGGCUAGAGCAGAGCAGCAUGAUGGGCCUGGUAGUGUUGAAAAUGAGCCGGUGGAUGGGAGGGUCUGUUGGAACGACGAAGGGGAAGAGGAGGGCCGGUUGCAAUGGUGUCCGGAUCGGGUGAAGGGAUGUCUGGGAGAGCUGGGAUAUGUGGUGGAUCGGUUGGGUCUUGUGAAGGUGACACAGGGAGAUCGAGAGGAAGGUCUGGAGUGGUGAUGGAAGAUCUGGACGGUGAGGACAGGAGCUCUGGAGGUGUAACAGCUAAAGGGGGGUCGGUGUGUGGGCUGGAAUGAGUUGGGGAUGUUUCAAAAAAAUUGGGCCCAGCUAUGUGUGGGUCAGUAAGUGGGAUAGGUAAAACUGGGAGGUCUUGUUGGUCUUCACAGGGUAAGUGAGCAAAAGGAAACAUGUGUUCAUGAAAUAGAACAUCACGUGAAGUAACAAUUUUGUGGUUAUCAAGAUCAUAGACAAGGUAACCCUUCUGACCAAGGGGAUAUCCUAAAAAUAAACAACGUCGCGCACGAGUAUCAAAUUUGUGAAUGGGAGUGAGAUUCGUAGCAUAGCAUAAACACCCAAAAACCCGGAGGUGAGAAUAGGUAGGUGGAACCCCGUGCAACAGUUCAUAAGGGGAUUUAUGGGCAAGUAAGGGUGUAGGGAGUCGAUUGAUGAGAUAAGAAGCAGUUUGAAGACUUUCUCCCCAAAAUUUCAAAGGAACAUUAGCUUGAAAACGUAAGGCUCGAGCAACAUUCAAAAGAUGGCGGUGUUUGCGUUCAACAACCCCGUUUUGUUGCGGUGUGUGAGCACAAGUGUGGUGAAAAAUGGUACCACGACUAUCCAAAAAAGAACGCAUGGAGAUGAAUUCACCACCGUUAUCAGCACGGAGAACUUUGAUAUCAUGAUUAAAUUGCGUUUUGACCCAAGCAAAAAAUGAUUUUAACAAGAUUUGUGUGUCAGACUUAAAAUGCAUAAGAUGAAUCCAUGUGAAGCGAGUAAAAUCAUCCACAAUAGUUAAAAAAUAUCGUGCCCCAGAAUGUGUAGGAAUUUUGUGUGGGCCCCAUAUAUCACAAUGUAUUAGAUCAAAAGGUGCGGUAGAUUUUAUUGAACUAUGAGUAAAAGGCAAGCGUGUUUGCUUUGCAAGAGGACAGACAUCACAAACAUGCGUAGAAUCAAACAUAAUAUGGGGAAUGGCUUUGGAUAAAAAAUAGAGAGGAGCAGAGGAAGGGUGCCCAAGGCGUUGGUGCCAGAGAUCCGAGGUACGGUGAAUAUGAUGAGCUAGGUGGGGAUUUUGUUGUGGCGUAAGGUAGUAGAGCCCAUCAAAAUGCUUGCCCAGGCCAAUCAUCCUCUUCGUUUCCACGUCCUGCACAACACAAAAAUCCGGAUAAAAUGUCACCAUACAAUUCAAUGCUCGAGUUAAUUUACUCACAGACAAUAAGUUCACACGAAAUUUGGACACAUGUAGAACUCCAUCAAGAGACAAAUAAGGUGUCAGGCGCACAGAUCCUAUACUUUCAAUGGCAACGUGCUCACCAUUAGGCAAACCAACAAAAUCAUGCUGAGUCCCAAUAUGAGUAUAAUGCGUGGGUGUUAAACGAGAUAUGUGAUCUGUUGCUCCACUAUCCACAAUCCAAUGUAAGGUAGAAUGCGAAUCAUGAUGUGCAGUAUUGCAAGUGGGGGAAAAUGUACCUGUCGCAUGCAAAUGAUUGGGCAUUACCGUUCUUAUUGUGAAGCAUAGCAAGGAGUUGAUUGUAUUGCUCGGUUGUGAAGGUGGGGCCUCCAGUAGCAGAAGCUGUUGGACCCUUGGUAGGAGGUGUUUCCAAUUCUACAUUGUGAGCAGCAGCCCUCUUGUCAUUGUGAGCAGGUGGCUUCUUAUUCCUGGGUUGCACAUUCUUCCCAUGCCAUUUGUGACCAAUUGGAAAUCCAAUGAUGUAAUAGCAAUGAUCAACUGAAUGACCCUCUUGGUCACAGUGAGAGCAUUUGGAGGGUUUGUAGGGGCGGAAAAAGCCUGUGGUCGCAGGAGCACGCGAAGUCUGCAUAGCGUGAGAAUAAGAUGGAUUUUCUCGGCGACUUGCCACUUCCAUCUGUCUCUCAUGUUGGAGAAUUAACCCAUGGACUCUUCGUGUAUCAGGAAUAGGAUUCAUCAUCAAAAUGGAGCCACGAACAGUGGAGUAAGAAUCAUUUAAUCCCAUUAGAAAUUGCAUGACCUUCUCCUUUUCCUCACGAUCUGCAAGCUUUUUCAGGCCCUCACAGUCACAAAUGAGGGGUUCAUGAUAAAUAGACAGUUCAUCCCAAAGUGCUUUGAGUUUGGUAUAGUAUAUGGAGACUGAUUGUUGUCCUUGACGACAUUCGACAAUUUCUUGUCGAAUUUGGUGGAUCCUGGAGUCAUUCCUCUGGGAAAAUCUGUCUUUGAGAUCGUUCCAAACGGCGGCUGUUGUGUCAGAAUAGAGGACGCUGUUGGCAAUGUCGGGAUGAAUCGAGUGUAGGAGCCAUGACAAUACCAUGUCGUUGCAACGCUGCCACAUAGGAAAUUUGGCAUCAGUUGAUGGUGGUGCUUUGACAGACCCAUCGAUUAGUCCAAGUUUAUUCUUGGCACUGAGACUGAGACGCACCGAGCGACUCCAUUGUCCAUAGUUAUUUCCUUUGAGUGGUGCGUUGGCAAGGGUGAGCCCUGGUGUGUCGGAAUGGUGCAAAACGAGAGGAUCAGAUAUGGUUGACGAAUUGGUGAGGGUCGUUAAGUCUGUGGCUUGUUGAAUUGGGAGGAUUGUUGAAUCUGUGCGUUGUGGUUCACCCAUGGUGGUGUGCUUAGUAGUUUUGUGGGUGUCUGUAGCGGAAGGUAGGUGGGUUUUCAGAGUCACCAGUCUUGGUGCUCUGAUACCAUGUGAGAAAUAUAUGAAGAAUAGGGUUUGUAUUGAGUAGUCAAACCGUAUACAGAGGCAUGUGUUUUAUACAAGUAAAUGAAAGCUAUUCUAGGAAAACAGAGAAGCUAUUCUAGGUAAACAGAACCUAUUUAUGUUGAUUACAAUUCUAUCCUACAAAUGCUCCUAAUUAGAUCAUAAUCAGAUCAUUGACUAUUUUGUUUCCUUUUACAGGUGCAAGAGAGGUUAAGGAAACCUUGAUGAUUUGGUGAAUCCCGUAGAUCCCAAGAGUCAUAUGGCGAACUCCAUAGAUCCCAAGCCAUGAAUUUCAAAGGUAUAUAUAUAUAUAUAAUAUCCUGAAAUGCAAAUAUGACGAAGUCAUGAUUCUAUGACCAAGACAUUAGAGCACAAAGAUAGUUAAGUUCAUUCAUUUGAUAUAGAAGUUUGAAGAAAAUGCUAUAACUUGAAAGAGGGCUUAACCUCAGGCUCAGAAUAUCAUGUCAACCAAGUCCAAUUAUCCAGCAACUUAGUUUAUAAAAAUGGAACCCAAAUCGUAAUCAGCAGUACACCACUAGAAGUUUAAUGAAUAAUGUAAGUCUCAGUGUUACGAUCGUCGAGGUUCUAGUCAUUCAUGCCUUCGAUUGCGUCCUUCAUGGCCUUCUCGUUGCUGAAGGUGACAAAGCUAAAGCCAAAGCCCAUGGACCUCCUGAUCUCACAGUCGUUGAUGAUCUGAAAACACAAAAAGAAACCAAAUCAAAUCAGAUCCGUCCAUCAAAACCAAAACGUCAGAGUAUAAUCAAACAAAUACAAAUAAUAAACAAAAAUGAAAAGGAAUCGAUCGAUCUUCAAUCUUUGGGAGAGAAAGAUCAAGUAACAUAGAGAAACAGAAGAUCAAGUAGCAGAGAGAGAACAUGCGUCAAAUGGCCCUUCGAUUCGAUGAUCUCGCCGAACGGAGAAAAGGCCCUCUCCAAUGCAUCAUUAGAAUGAUGAGGUUGAACAAAAACUGAAAAUUUGGGUUGAAGAUGAAGAUGAGAGACUGGAGGUCGUGAAAUGAAAUCUGAUAUGGUGUUGAUUAGAAUUCCAAUUUUAUGUUAAAAGGGUAAUAAAGGUAUUUCGUUUUAAUAAUUAAAAUAAAAAAUACACAGCUGUCUGUUUUUGGGUUUAUUUUGGGUGUGUUUAUAUACAUUAAGUAGUAUAGGGUCUUUUUAUAGUUUUAUGUCUAGGAAUGAGUAUUUAACUAAUUUUGUAAAUUAUUUUUUAGUCCGACACAGCACCAAACAUAGGUCUUCACUAUUUUUACAAUCCAACUUCUUAGUCCGACACAAUACCAAACGUAGGUCAGUAUUUAAUUCAGCUUAAGUCAAUCCGAGCAAAUCCAAGACAGUCCAAGGACUUAAUCCAGUCCAUGACAGUUCGCAAUACCAAACGACCCCCUAUCAGUACUAAAUAGUGAACGGACGGUGAGAAAAUCAUAAGAGAUUGUAUUCAUUCACGUACGAGUUGCUGCUGUGGAUUGCAGACUGACUCAGAUUAAUGAAAUGACAGAGGAUGCUGACUGCUGAUGAUUUUUGAGUGGAACAAAUUAAAUAUUCAGGCACAAAGACUUUGAGCCGUUAGAUUUAAAUCAACACAAUCCCGUGCACUGUUAUGAAAUUUAUACCAGUCAACUUGUUCCACAUUUUGUUUUUAUGUGGCAACACGUUGUUUUACAGUCACGCCACUUGGUUUACUAAUUAAACCUUAUAUUCAAUGAUUUAUUUAUUGUAUAGUUUGAUAUUGCUUCAAGAUUGGCAAAUGUUAGACCAUUUCAGAAACAAAUUUCCUGGUAGUUCACGAAGGAAGAUAAAAAGAACUGAGGAAACUACAAGGUAAUGAGUGUAAUGAAAAAAAUUGACAAGUGCAGUGCAGUGCAGGUAGAGAAGAACAAAAUGAUCAUUCUGACCAUUUCUGUGGUAGAAUUAAAUUAUAAAAGAGAAGGCCAUUUCAUCCACAUAAAACAGUAUCAUUCAAGAAUAUCAAAAUAUAUCAUACAAAAUUAUCAAUACACCAUUCACACAACAAAACCCUUUUCUUCUAGCAAGCACUCUUCUCUAUCAUCUUUUCAGUUUCAAGUUUCAACCCAGAAGUUAAAGCACUAGCUAGCAGCAGUAGCAGCAGGAGAGGAGAUGGCAGAAAGUGUGGUGAGCUUUUUGCUUGACAGGCUCAGCUCCGUAAUAGAAGAGGAGGUGAGACUACUGUCAGGGACCCGAGCAGAGAUGGAGGAUAUCGUCGAGGAGUUAGAGCGCAUCAAGGCCUUCUUAAGGGUUGCUGAUGCAAAGGAAGACAGUGACCCCCAGCUCAAAGUGUGGGUUAAACAAGUUAGAGAUGUGGCUUAUCAGAUUGAAGAUGCGCUUGAUAUAUUCAGGCUUUCUCAUUCAUGUUAUCAUAGGCCGGGAUGCCAUGCUUCCCUUCAUGAGCUUUCUUGCAUCAUUAACAAGUUGAAAGCUCGCCGGAGAAUUGCUACUGAUAUUCAAGGCAUAAAAUCAAAAGUCAGAAGCCUCUCCGAGGGACAUCAGAAUUACAAACUUGAUGUUGACCCUGGCUCAAGCAAGGUUCAGAAACAUCACUACAGUCAAGGGGAUGCUCUUUUGCUGGAAGAGGCUGAUCUUGUGGCAAUCGGCGAACCUAAAAGGCAGCUGAUUAAGUUGCUUAUGCAGGAGGGUGGCGACGCUAGACGCCAGGCAGUCGCGGUCGUUGGGAUGGGAGGGCUGGGGAAAACCACCUUGGCCAAGCAAGUCUAUAAGGAUGCAAGAGUUAAGAAAAAUUUCAAGGUACAUGCUUGGAUCACUGUUUCUCAAUCAUUCAAGAUAAAGAAGCUCCUAAGACACAUAGUUGAAAAAAUCUUCAAAGUUAUCAGGAAACCAGUCCCUGAAGAAGUUGAUAGGAUGGACACCAACCAGCUAAGAGAAAGAAUAAAAAAAUUGCUGCAGCACAGUAAGUACCUGAUUGUUCUAGAUGAUCUUUGGCACAUAGAUGUCUGGGAUGUCAUCAAUCAUGCAUUGCCUAACAACAAAGGUAGUCGAGUAAUGAUCACUACUCGUAAUGCCUCUGUAGCCUCUGCCUCUUGCAUGAAUAACCACAGUAUGGUCUACCAUAAAGAGCCCUUAUCUCCAGAAGAUUCUUGGACUCUUCUCUGUAGGAAGACAUUUCAGGAAGAGUCAUGUCCUCCAAAUUUGGAGGACAUCUGUCGAUGCAUCUUAAGCAAAUGUGGGGGACUGCCCCUUGCAAUUGUGGCAAUCGGUGCUGUUCUAGCUAUGAAAGACAAGAAAAACAUAGAAGAUUGGGCUGCCGUUUGUGGCAGUAUUGGUGCUGAAAUUGAGGAAAAUGACCAACUUGACAACAUGAAAAGGUUGUUGUAUCUCAGUUUCAGUGAUUUACCAUACCAUCUCAAAUCUUGUUUCUUGUAUCUGAGUAUCUUUCCUGAUCUUUAUAAAUUCGAGUAUAUGAGAUUAAUUCGAUUAUGGAUUGCUGAAGGAUUUGUUAUUGAAAAGGAAGGAAAGACACCAGAAGAAGUUGCAGAGAGUUACCUUAAGGAGCUACUGGACAGAAGUUUGAUCGAAGCAGCAGAAAUAGCUACCGAUGGGAGGGUCAAAUCAUGUAGGAUCCAUGAUCUUUUACGGGAGAUUGUCGUUUUGAAGUCUAGGGAGCAAAACUUUGCAGCAAUACAGAAAGCGCAAGGCACAAUGUGGCCCGAAAAAGUUCGACGACUAUCAAUUUUUAACACGUUGCAGAAUGUACAACAAAAGAGGACUCCUUCCAAACUUCGUUCGUUGCUCAUUUUUGGGGUAGAAGAUUCACUUACUGAGUUUUCAAUACCAAAAUUGUUUCCUAGAGGUCUUCCGCUGCUUACUGUAUUAGACUUGGAAGGUGCCCCUCUAGAGACAUUUCCAAAAGAGGUUGUCAACCUUCUUCUGCUCAGGUAUCUUAGUUUGAGGGGUACCAAGGUGAAACAAAUUCCAAGCUCCAUCAAGAAGCUUCAAAACCUAGAGACCUUCGAUCUUAAACACUCUCAUGUCGUUGAGUUGCCUGCUGAAAUUUUGAAUCUCAAGCGACUGCGCCAUCUCCUGGUAUAUCGCUAUGAAGUUGAAUCUUAUGCACGAUUUAAUUCCAGAUAUGGAGUGAAGGUUCCUGCAGGAAUAUGUGGCUUACAAUCGCUCCAAAAGCUGUGUUUUGUAGAGGCAAAUCAAGACAAUGGCGCUUUAGUGGCAGAGCUUGGGAGAAUGAAUCAACUGAGGAAGUUAGGCAUUUUCAAGUUGAGACAAGAAGAUGGGGUCACCUUAUGCUCAUCUAUCGAAAAGAUGCGCAACCUUCGGUCAUUGUCUGUAUCUUCAGUGGAGAAGGACAAGAUAAUUGAUCUGACACACAUUUCUUGUCCUCCUCAAUUUCUUCAGCGACUAUACUUGACGGGGCGUUUAGAAAACUUACCGCAUUGGAUUUCUUCGCUCCCGAACGUGGUGAGACUGUUUCUGAAAUGGAGUCGGCUAAAGGAGGAUCCUCUGGUGCAUCUUCAAGGUUUGCCAAAUCUAGUACAUCUUGAACUCCUUCAGGUUUAUGAGGGAGACUGUUUGCAUUUUAAGGCAGGAGGGUUUCCAAGCCUGAAGUUACUAGGUAUUGACAAACUAGAUGAACUGAAAUUGGUAAGCAUGGAUAAGGGAGCAAUGCCUUGCCUAGAAAAGUUAAUUAUCCAGCGGUGCAGAUUGUUGAAGAAGGUAUCAGGCAUUGAACAUUUACAAGACCUAAAGCUGCUUGAAUUUUUUGACAUGCCAAACGAAUUAAUAAAGCGAUUUCGUCCAGAUGGUGGGGAAGAUCAUUGGAAAGUUGCUCACAUUCCAGAGGUUUACUCUUCGUAUUGGAACGUUGGGGGUUGGGAUGUUUAUUCAUUAGAGAUCACUGAUGGGGAGAGUACUAGUCAGCAAGGUACUACUUCUGCCAUGAGGAGGCUGGAACCUAAUAUUCUAUGGAAGGCUUAGCUUUUGGUUCUGCCUUAUAAUUACAAACUGCAAAUAAUAGAAUCACUGGAAGCAUGUUUUAUCAGAAUGCUUCCUACUACUGCAUACAUAUGAAUCUUAUAACUUCAAUUCUUGUAUUCUUUUAU
RNAcentral lists this long non-coding RNA (25565 nucleotides) under Prunus persica (peach). Its description in RNAcentral is "long non-coding RNA (PPER_LNC005078)". Lineage: Eukaryota; Viridiplantae; Streptophyta; Magnoliopsida; Rosales; Rosaceae. The record is from RNAcentral.